RNAcentral lists this ribosomal RNA (465 nucleotides) under uncultured bacterium. RNAcentral describes it as "partial 16S ribosomal RNA". It matches the Rfam family "Bacterial small subunit ribosomal RNA", at positions 338 to 795 of the family's 1533-position model. The record is from RNAcentral.
CCUACGGGAGGCAGCAGUGGGGAAUAUUGCGCAAUGGGCGAAAGCCUGCCGCAGCGACGCCGCGUGAGGGAUGAAGGUCUUCGGAUCGUAAACCUCUGUCAGCAGGGAAGAACGGUCACUGUGCUAAUCAGCAGUGAAUUGACGGUACCUGCAAAGAACGCACCGGCUAACUCCGUGCCAGCAGCCGCGGUAAUACGGAGGGUGCGAGCGUUAAUUGGAAUUAUUGGGCGUAAAGCGCUCGUAGGCGGUAUGUCAAGUCAAGGGUGAAAUCCCCGCGCUCAACGUGGGAAUUGCCGUUGAAACUGGCAAACUGGAGUGUGGGAGAGGAGAGUGGAAUUCGAGGUGUAGGAGUGAAAUCCGUAGAUAUCUGGAGGAACAUCAGUGGCGAAGGCGACUAUCUGGCACAUAACUGACGCUGAGGAGCGAAAGCGUGGGUAGCAAACAGGAUUAGAUACCCGGGUAGUC